RNAcentral lists this non-coding RNA (99 nucleotides) under Saimiri boliviensis boliviensis (Bolivian squirrel monkey). The record is from RNAcentral. Lineage: Eukaryota; Metazoa; Chordata; Mammalia; Primates; Cebidae.
GGCUGCCUGAAUGCAGUGCUGUUUACAACUAAUGUCACAACCAGUUAGAGAUUUCUUUGUUCCCUCUCCACUCCUGCAGCUUCACCUGACUAGCUUAAA